GGGCGGGUGGCGAAACUGGUAGACGCAGCAGACUCAAAAUCUGCCGGUAGCGAUACUAUGAGAGUUCGAUUCUCUCCCCGCCCA
Molecule: transfer RNA, 84 nt
Filed under: Planktothrix sp. FACHB-1355
Lineage: Bacteria; Bacillati; Cyanobacteriota; Cyanophyceae; Oscillatoriales; Microcoleaceae
Also listed under: 3 other names
Description: tRNA-Leu
Rfam family: tRNA
About the family: Transfer RNA (tRNA) molecules are approximately 80 nucleotides in length. Their secondary structure includes four short double-helical elements and three loops (D, anti-codon, and T loops). Further hydrogen bonds mediate the characteristic L-shaped molecular structure. tRNAs have two regions of fundamental functional importance: the anti-codon, which is responsible for specific mRNA codon recognition, and the 3' end, to which the tRNAs corresponding amino acid is attached (by aminoacyl-tRNA synthetases). tRNAs cope with the degeneracy of the genetic code in two manners: having more than one tRNA (with a specific anti-codon) for a particular amino acid; and 'wobble' base-pairing, i.e. permitting non-standard base-pairing at the 3rd anti-codon position.
Source: RNAcentral